This 778-nucleotide long non-coding RNA is filed under the name Marmota monax (woodchuck). Lineage: Eukaryota; Metazoa; Chordata; Mammalia; Rodentia; Sciuridae. The record is from RNAcentral.
GUACCACCUUACUUCACUAGUCUACGACAAGAUUGGAUCAGAUUGGAUAAAGAUAAAAAACAAAAGCACACACAAAAAAAACAAAAACCAGAUCUGUGGAUACUUUAGUGAGACACAUUCCAGAGGGUGGGAGAUAAACCCUACAAAGAACCUACCACACCAGUAACAUAUUUUGGGGGUCCUGUUCUGAGGCCUGCCAGGAUAUUCCCUUAAAAGUAAAGGACAAAUUAUUGCAUCACAUAUCUCCUCCUUCCCUCCCUCCUUUCCUUCCUUCCUUCCUUCCUUCCUUCCUUCCUUCCUUCCUUCCUUCCUUCCUUUCAUCAUGUAUCUUGACCACAAAGUAGGAAGCACAAUCUACAACUCUUGGUAAGGUACCCUGGUUCUUCUAUGCUCUGUACUUGGGAAUAUUGCUCUAGAUCAUGUAGUGGGUAAUGUGGAAGGAUGUCAAUUUUCACUGAUAUUCAGAGCAGGAAAGAGCCCUGGAGCAGAUAUAGGUUUGAGUUACAUGACCAGAUAGAUACCAUUUUAUUGGAAGUAUCAAUGGUAGAAAAAGAUGCUUUGUGAGCUUAUGAUAAACCCAAUAGAAGAAUUACAGUAUAGACUCUUAGAUUUCUGGAGCAUGAUAAUACCAUCUACAGUUAGAAUUAUAUAAGUUUCAAAAUUAUCUUGUGGGCUGUAGUGGAGGCUUCGUGCUUAAUCACGGCACACUAAAUGACCAUGGAAGCAGAACUGCCAACAAUGGGCUAAAUUCUGCCAGAAUCUUAGGGUUGGGAAGGCU